AACAAGGUGGCUGAAAUAUUAAGUAAUGGAUUGUAAAUCCAUAAAUAAAGGUUCAAUUCCUUUUCUUGUUA
Molecule: transfer RNA, 71 nt
Filed under: Caenopedina pulchella
Lineage: Eukaryota; Metazoa; Echinodermata; Echinoidea; Pedinoida; Pedinidae
Description: tRNA-Tyr
Rfam family: tRNA
About the family: Transfer RNA (tRNA) molecules are approximately 80 nucleotides in length. Their secondary structure includes four short double-helical elements and three loops (D, anti-codon, and T loops). Further hydrogen bonds mediate the characteristic L-shaped molecular structure. tRNAs have two regions of fundamental functional importance: the anti-codon, which is responsible for specific mRNA codon recognition, and the 3' end, to which the tRNAs corresponding amino acid is attached (by aminoacyl-tRNA synthetases). tRNAs cope with the degeneracy of the genetic code in two manners: having more than one tRNA (with a specific anti-codon) for a particular amino acid; and 'wobble' base-pairing, i.e. permitting non-standard base-pairing at the 3rd anti-codon position.
Source: RNAcentral